GUUUCAGGACCGUUGGCACCGGGCUAACGGUUCCACCACGUCCGCCGCCCUGGACGCCCGCGGCCUGCCCCCCCCUGCCUCUCCUGCGCCGAUACACUUCGAGUGGAUUCUGGCCAUUUGAGCAUUCUCUCCAACUCUCCAAUCCCCAGUCUGCCCCCACGGGGGUCUCCCCCACCUCUCCCCCGUCCCACAGCCUAAACCCCUCUUCGCCCUGAACCUCCCUUUUCCUCAUGCGGUGAAUGGGCACUGGCCCCGCUCAGACUCCCAGGAGCACCAGAGCUGGCCCUGAGCCAAGCCCUGCCCCACCAGGACCUGGGGACACGGGUGACUCAGACGUGACUCAGGAAGGCUCAGGUCCUGCUGGCAUCCGCGGAGCCCCACCAGCAUGGGCAGCCUCGGCCAGAGAGAAGAUCUCCAAGAUGAGGACAGGAACUCAGCAUUCACCUGGAAGGUCCAGGCCAACAACCGUGCCUACAACGGGCAGUUCAAGGAGAAGGUGAUCCUGUGCUGGCAAAGGAAGAAAUACAAGACCAAUGUCAUCCGCACGGCCAAGUACAACUUCUACUCGUUCCUGCCGCUGAACCUGUACGAGCAGUUCCACCGCGUGUCCAACCUGUUCUUCCUCAUCAUCAUCAUCCUGCAGAGCAUUCCCGACAUCUCCACGCUGCCCUGGUUCUCGCUCAGUACCCCUAUGGUCUGCCUCCUCUUCAUCCGUGCCACCCGGGACCUGGUGGACGACAUGGGGAGACACAAGAGUGACAGAGCCAUCAACAACAGACCCUGCCAGAUUCUGAUGGGGAAGAGUCCGACAGGAACCGGGCCUGCAUUCAUUAGGCGUUUGGCCGGGACGAGGACAGAGGCCGAGGCCCUGAUGGCGAACCCUUGCAGAGCUUAGGGCUCGGGCGAUGGGGAGGACAAGGAAAGUCUGAAGAGGACGUGGGUGCAGGACCCUGGAGGUCACUGGGUGGGAGCGUGGACCCGCGGGGAGUGGGGUGGGAGCCCGGGGAAGGCUUCCUGAGGGGGCAAAGGCCCGGAGGUGGGGACUGCAGCUGCGGGCCCCCCGUCAUCCCGUGCCUCUGGUCUCCCGGUGUGGGGAGGGUUGGCAGAGGGAGGGGCCUCCUUCACAACCCCCUCUCCCCGCAGCUUCAAGCAGAAGAAAUGGCAGGAUCUGUGCGUGGGGGAUGUGGUCUGUCUCCGCAAGGACAACAUCGUCCCAGCCGACAUGCUCUUGCUGGCCAGCACGGAGCCCAGCAGCCUGUGCUAUGUGGAGACGGUGGACAUUGACGGGGAGACCAACUUGAAGUUCAGACAGGCCCUGAUGGUCACCCACAAAGAACUGGCCACUAUAAAGAAGAUGGCGUCCUUUCAAGGCACAGUGACGUGUGAGGCGCCUAACAGUCGGAUGCACCACUUCGUGGGGUGCCUGGAAUGGAAUGACAAGAAAUACUCCCUGGACAUUGGCAACCUCCUCCUCCGAGGCUGCAGGAUUCGCAACACAGACACCUGCUAUGGACUGGUCAUUUAUGCUGGUUUUGACACAAAAAUUAUGAAGAACUGUGGCAAGAUCCAUUUGAAGAGAACCAAGCUGGACCUCCUGAUGAACAAGCUGGUGGUUGUGAUCUUCAUCUCCGUGGUGCUUGUCUGCCUGGUGUUGGCCUUCGGCUUCGGUUUCUCAGUCAAAGAAUUCAAAGACCACCACUACUACCUCUCGGGGGUGCAUGGGAGCAGCGUGGCCGCAGAGUCCUUCUUCGUCUUCUGGAGCUUCCUCAUCCUGCUCAGCGUCACCAUCCCGAUGUCCAUGUUCAUCCUGUCCGAGUUCAUCUACCUGGGGAACAGCGUCUUCAUCGACUGGGACGUGCAGAUGUACUACAAGCCGCAGGACGUGCCUGCCAAGGCCCGCAGCACCAGCCUCAACGACCACCUGGGCCAGGUGGAAUACAUCUUCUCGGACAAGACGGGCACGCUCACGCAGAACAUCUUGACCUUCAACAAGUGCUGCAUCAGCGGCCGCGUCUAUGGGCCGGAUUCAGAGGCCACGACCCGACCUAAGGAGAACCCCUACCUCUGGAACAAGUUCGCCGACGGGAAGCUGCUCUUCCACAAUGCGGCCCUGCUGCACCUCGUGCGGACCAACGGGGACGAGGCCGUGCGGGAGUUCUGGCGCCUGCUGGCCAUCUGCCACACGGUGAUGGUGCGGGAGAGCCCCCGUGAGCGCCCAGACCAGCUGUUGUACCAGGCGGCCUCCCCCGACGAGGGGGCGCUGGUCACCGCAGCCCGGAACUUCGGCUACGUGUUCCUGUCCCGCACCCAGGACACCGUCACGAUCAUGGAGCUGGGGGAGGAACGGGUCUACCAGGUCCUGGCCAUAAUGGACUUCAACAGCACGCGCAAACGGAUGUCGGUGCUGGUUCGAAAGCCAGAGGGCGCCAUCUGCCUGUACACCAAGGGCGCCGACACGGUCAUCUUCGAACGCUUGCACAGGAGGGGGGCAAUGGAAUUUGCCACAGAGGAGGCCUUGGCUGCCUUUGCCCAGGAGACCCUGCGGACACUGUGCCUGGCCUACAGGGAGGUGGCUGAGGACAUUUACGAGGACUGGCAGCAGCGCCACCAGGAGGCCAGCCUCCUGCUGCAGAACCGGGCACAGGCCCUGCAACAGGUGUACAACGAGAUGGAGCAGGACCUCAGGCUGCUGGGAGCCACAGCCAUCGAGGACAGACUCCAGGACGGUGUCCCUGAAACCAUCAAAUGUCUCAAGAAGAGCAACAUCAAAAUAUGGGUGCUCACCGGGGACAAGCAGGAAACGGCUGUGAACAUCGGCUUCGCCUGCGAGCUGCUGUCAGAGAAUAUGCUCAUUCUGGAGGAGAAGGAGAUUAGCCGCAUCCUGGAGACCUACUGGGAAAACAGUAACAACCUUCUAACCAGGGAGUCCCUGUCGCAGGUCAAGCUGGCCUUGGUCAUUAACGGAGACUUCCUGGCGCCUGUCCCUGCUGUGCCGGAGGUUCGGGCUCCCGCUGGCUGCACCGCCAGCCCAGGACUCCAGAGCCCGCCGUAGCUCCGAGGUGCUGCAGGAGCGCGCCUUCGUGGACCUGGCGUCCAAGUGCCAGGCGGUCAUCUGCUGCCGCGUGACGCCCAAGCAGAAGGCCCUGAUCGUGGCCCUGGUCAAGAAGUACCACCAGGUGGUGACCCUGGCCAUCGGGGACGGUGCCAACGACAUCAACAUGAUCAAGACCGCGGACGUGGGCGUGGGGCUGGCGGGCCAGGAGGGCAUGCAGGCAGUUCAGAACAGCGACUUCGUGCUCGGCCAGUUCUGCUUCCUGCAGCGCCUCCUGCUGGUGCACGGCCGCUGGUCCUACGUGCGGAUCUGCAAGUUCCUGCGCUACUUCUUCUACAAGAGCAUGGCCAGCAUGAUGGUGCAGGUCUGGUUUGCCUGCUACAACGGCUUCACCGGCCAGCCCCUGUAUGAAGGAUGGUUCCUGGCUCUUUUCAACCUCCUGUACAGCACCCUGCCAGUUCUCUACAUUGGGCUCUUUGAGCAGGACGUGAGCGCAGAGCAGAGCCUGGAGAAGCCGGAGCUGUACGUGGUGGGGCAGAAGGACGAGCUCUUCAACUACUGGGUCUUCGUCCAAGCCAUCGCCCAUGGUGUGACCACCUCUCUGGUCAACUUCUUCAUGACACUGUGGAUCAGCCGCGACACGGCGGGACCCGCCAGCUUCAGCGACCACCAGUCCUUUGCGGUCGUGGUGGCCCUGUCUUGCCUGCUGUCCAUCACCAUGGAGGUCAUUCUUAUCAUCAAGUACUGGACCGCCCUGUGCGUGGCGACCAUCCUCCUCAGCCUUGGUUUCUACGCCAUCAUGACUACCACCACCCAGAGCUUCUGGCUCUUCAGAGUAUCCCCCACGACCUUCCCGUUUCUGUAUGCCGACCUCAGCGUGAUGUCCUCUCCCUCCAUCCUGCUGGUGGUCCUGCUGAGUGUGUCCAUAAACACCUUCCCUGUCCUGGCCCUCCGAGUCAUCUUCCCAGCCCUCAAGGAGCUACGUGCCAAGGAGGAGAAGGUGGAGGAGGGCCCCAGCGAGGAGAUUUUCACCAUGGAGCCCUUGCCUCAUGUACACCGGGAGUCUCGUGCCCGCCGUUCCAGCUAUGCUUUCUCCCACCGUGAGGGAUAUGCAAACCUCAUCACUCAGGGCACAAUUCUGCGGAGGGGACCAGGGGUCAGCAGUGACAUAGCAUCUGAAUCCCUAGACCCAUCUGAUGAAGAGGCAGCUUCGAGCCCAAAAGAGUCACAGUGACACCUCAGGAAGAUGUCCUUCCUGGGGAAGAAGAAGCACCAGCCACAGGGGCAGGUGUCCUCCCAGGAAGUACAGCUCCCCCCUACACCUAGCUCAUCAUUUUCUAUGGAUAGACAAUCCGCUCUUCAUCCAGAAAACCAACCUGCCCUCCCCAAAUAUGUGCUCACCAGCAGCAACAGGCUAUCUGAGUCUUUCCAAGAGCAAUUGCCAAGGGCACAGGAGAGGUCAUUGUCACCCAAGCAGAGGCCACCUUCUCCUGAGAAGUUGCUGUUGACCAAGGAGAGGUCACAUUCUUUUCAGGAGAAAUCACUGUUGCACAGAGAAAGCCAGCUGUCGUCAUUUGAGAGCCAGCCACAGCCUCUGGGGAGCCAGUCAUUUCUUUCAGGCCAGCUGACGUUGGAGAGCCAGCCAGACUCCUCGGAGGAGAAGUCAGCAUUUUUGAAGCCCUCCACACCGUUCCGGAAGAGCUGGCAAAAGGAGCCUCACACCCCCAAGGAGGGGACGGUGCCACUUCCAGACAAGACCCACAAAUCUCAGGUGGAGACUCUGCCACCAAGUCUGGAAGAAUCGUCCACGUCCACGAGCGAGCAGCCUAUGGAGGUGGAGCUGUGGCCCGCGGAGAAGCAGUCAUCAUCAUCCAUGGAGUGGCUGCUGGUGCCCGGGGAGGAGCAGCUAUCCUUGCCCCCAGAGGAGCAGUCAUUGCCCUCUGCGGAGGGGACCAGGGUUCAGCAGUGACGUAGCAUCUGAAUCCCUAGACCCAUCUGAUGAAGAGGCAUCUUCGAGCCCAAAGGAGUCACGCUGGCAUAUCAGGAAGAUGUCCUUCCUGGGAAGAAGAAGCUCCAGCCAGUUCUGCUGCAAGUCAACCAGCAUGCAGGGGGCCUUCCUCUAAAGACAAGGACUCCACAUGCUUUUCUUUUUCUAAUAAACCAGGGUCCAUCUGACCCCAGCGCUAA
This is an RNA transcript of Homo sapiens (human), 5239 nucleotides long. It is a transcript of the gene named ATPase phospholipid transporting 8B3, with no coding region annotated. The transcript has 29 exons. NCBI's taxonomy places the organism in Eukaryota, Metazoa, Chordata, Mammalia, Primates, Hominidae. The record is from RefSeq and is marked reviewed.